UUCCAUCAUAAGGGUUCUAAGGAUUGGGUUGAAGUCUUCAGGCUUGGCAGCAAUCACCUUUAUCCCCUGAGCCAGCUUGCUGACUCUAGACAGUAAAUCAGUCAUUAUAAGAUAUAACAGUGCUGCUACUUUCACCUUGUGACUUAAACUGAAGGCAUUUGCAGACCUUGGCGGCAUCAUGACAUUGCUUUCAUUAGAAUCCUGAGGAUCUGCCUAGUAGCAAUGGCUGAGAAGUUUUAGAAAGUGAAACAAAGUUUGUAAUCCUUGCAGUGAAAGCCUUGAAGAAGACUUCUCAUAGUAGUCUAAUGAUAAGACUCCAAUUGAGAGAUGACAUAAGAAAGAUUUAACCCUAGAGGGAAAAGGGCCUGGAAGUUAGGAGAAGCUAAGUGGAAACUAUGUCAGAUGGCGAUUUCUUCAAAUUUUAAUAUAUAUUUUUGUCAACUGAAAUACUUUUAAAAUGCAUAUCUAAAUUCAGAAAAACUAGGAAUGAAGCUCAAAGGCAUUGCCCAAAGUCACUCCUCACUAGACAACAACCUCAACCAUCUACUUGAACUUUUCAUGGACUUCCAAGACUCUAGAAGCAUAAGAAAUAUUUAAAAAUAAAACAUAGCCUGUACAGUC
Long non-coding RNA from Mastomys coucha (southern multimammate mouse), 621 nucleotides. RefSeq lists it as uncharacterized. The record is from RefSeq and is a predicted model, not a curated record. The transcript has 5 exons. NCBI's taxonomy places the organism in Eukaryota, Metazoa, Chordata, Mammalia, Rodentia, Muridae.